GAUGAACGCUGGCGGCGUGCCUAAUACAUGCAAGUCGAGCGAACGGACGAGAAGUUUGCUUCUCUGAUGUUAGCGGCGGACGGGUGUGUAACAUGUGGAUAACCUACCUAUAAGACUGGGAUAAACUCGGGAAACUGGCGCUAAUACCGGAUAAUAUUUUGAACCGCAUGGUUCAAAAGUGAAAGACGGUCUUGCUGUCACUUAUAGAUGGAUCCGCGCUGCAUUAGCUAGUUGGUAAGGUAACGGCCUACCAAGGCAACGAUGCAUAGCCGACCUGAGAGGGUGAUCGCCCACAUGAGAGCGGAGACACGGUCCAGACGCCUACGGCAGGCAGCAGUAGGGAAUCUUCCGCAAUGGGCGAAAGCCUGACGGAACAACGCCGCGUGAGUGAUGAAGAUCUUCGGUUCGUAAAACUCGGUUAUGAGGGAAAAACAUAUGUGUGAGGAAAUGAAGACAUCCUGACGGUACCUAAACAGAAAGCCACGGCUAACUACGUG
This 497-nucleotide ribosomal RNA is filed under the name uncultured bacterium. RNAcentral describes it as "partial 16S ribosomal RNA". It matches the Rfam family "Bacterial small subunit ribosomal RNA", at positions 28 to 507 of the family's 1533-position model. The record is from RNAcentral.